GCUGAAGCAUCAUUACCAGCUGUUAUAUGCUGUUAUUUAGAUGUGGUUUGCGUACCAGUAGUUUUUUGAAGAGGAGGAUGAACUGUCAAUAUCAAAAACGGCUAGGAGUGAAGGCUUGCCUUGUUUUUUGGGUGCUGACUCCUCCCCUCUUGCAUUUGGGCUGGAGGGGAAGGAAGCUAGUUCUGCAGUUUAACUAAUGCCAGUUCAGAGUUUAUGGACCACUAGGUUUUUAUGCGCAGUGUCUUUUCCUGAGUCUGAUAGUCAUCACACAAGGGAACACUUAGACUACAAGUUAUGGGAGCUGAAUUUCCUUGUAAAUUAAACUUAAAAGUCUUAAACUUGCAUUUCAUGAACACUUUUUGAAAGAAAAAUAAGGCAAGGUAUCUAGGAUAAUCAAAACUUAACUACUGCUCAGUUGUGUGCCUGUUCACAUGCUGCUUAUAGAUAAAUUCUUUCAACCUGAAUCUCCCUAAAAACUUCCUUUUUUUUUUUAAAAAAAAAAAAAGGGAAGAGCUUCUCAUCCUAGUAGCUAUUUAACAAGCCACAGAGCAGAAAUACCAGUUAGAAUUUAGCUAUUAAGCUGACUUGCUAAGCCUGUUAUGGAGAGCAUCCACACUGCUAUGGAGGAAAUGAAUAUGGAGCUCAACUGCUGAUCCUCUAAAGUGGCCCCGUCUUCUGUAGAGCUGGUUCUUCUUUGAUUUACUUUAGAAGUACCGUUAACAAAGUAGCAACUGAUUCCUGUUGGGGAAAGUGUCCUCUCCGAAGUUGUUCCUUUCUGAAGAUACAGCAAAUGCACCUUACGCAGGCACACACAGAAAGUUCCUGAGUUGUUCCCACGGAAGCUAUGGGUAAUUAAAGCUCUUUAUGACUGUGGUCCACUGUUUUUUUUCCAGGCUUUCUUUGGUUUUGUAUUCCUGCUGAUGGCUGAAGUUGCUUUUAUUGCAAGAUGUAUUAUUUUAAAGAAAUGAGUGCACAUGUAUUAUCAGUAAAACAUCCUGUCUGGAGUGACUGGUUUAGACCCUACCUAAAUUACAGUUACUGUUUUUGUUAGCAGGGUCUUAUUCAUAGCUAAAUAUGUGAUUUGGGCGCUAUGUUACAUGCAUGGUAGAUGACAGUCCUGUACUGUGGUAAAGCCCUGCAGUCAUUGUUUGCUUUCAUCUUCAUUGUGUAAAUUAACUGUUAUAUUUAAGUUUGGGAAGAAAAAAGGUUUUGCAUUUUGUUUCCAUGUGUGUGUUCGUAGAUAGACUGUGCUUGUCCUAAAGGUCUUGUAAGAAUAACAGUUUCUCAAAUCUGUCUGGUGAAUGACUGUAUUUAUCAGUAGUUUGGUCAUGAGUUUCUAAAGACAAGUACUCUUGAGGCAAGGAAAACCAUGAAAAGAAAUGAUUCCACUUACACAUGGAGUGCUCUUUAAGCUCCAGUGAGAAAUGAAUUUAAUUGUCAUGUAGGAAACUAUUUUGUUUCCCUUCAAAAACAGUCAUUUUCUCAUCCUAUCUGUGACUGCUAAGUAGAAUGGAAUUUUGUUUUUUUCAAUGCGCUUUGUUUUUCAUCUUCGUUAAUGUUAAAUCAAUUUCCGAACAUUAACAGUGGAAUAAAUAAGCUUAUUAUCCCCCUACACCAUCCAUGCAGGAAAGUAAUUUUCAAAAUAUUUUGAAGGAUGACAGUGACACAAUAUUUGUCAUCUUGCUCUGUUGAAACCUUACAGAGAAGCCAAACAUGUGAUGGGUUGUAUCAGUGAAGCUUUGCUAUAGUGAAUGGUUAACUGGUGAUCUGCAUAAGGGCACUCGGCACACACAUCAUUCUGAGACAAGUGGAGGUAUAGGAAAAUGGGAAUAUCGACUUCAAAAAACCAAGAAGACCAUAACUCUAGCUUCUGAACAUCAGUUGUUCAGUAUUUGCUCUUUAAUUCAUCUCCUUGACAAAAUAAAAAAAUCCUGACAUGUAUCUCUUAAACUUAAUACCAACUAAUCAGUUUUUACAUAUUAGAGAUUAACUGCAGUUUCUAGCUAUUAACCGAGGAAUUGAGCAUACCCUGAUGGCUGUGAUAAUGUAAGCUGAUGCUCCUGUUUUCUAGCUCUCUUUGCACUUCAUUAAGGUACAUGACAGAUUGAGAGCCCAUUUUAACUUGCAGUCUGUCCCAGUACCCUUCACUAUUUUGUUGGGAAGUCACAGAGGAAACGCUAAGACUUAACUAACAUACUGUUUUGAAAAAAGAAUUGUUAAAGAUGAAAUCACUAAUGGGUAUGUUUUCUCUCAUUCUGUCACCAAGGCUUUAUCAAAUUAUUAGUGAAAUUUCAGGUAAGUGCAGGGGCAUCUGAAGCGUUUGGAAGAAAUGAUAUAAUCAGACACAAAAUUUCAAAGAUUCAGUUCACAAAACUGAACCUAGAUGACAUUCAAUAAAGCCUAUCUGAAAACAGACAAGAAGCCCAACCUGAAACCAGUUUGGGAGGAGGAGGGUUGGCCACACAGUGGACACCUGAUCCAUGGAUUGAUUAGGUUUGAUAUGUUAGAGGCCUCAGAGGAAGCCACCUUUCCUUGUGUUCACAGGGAAUGACUGUGCUUUAUUUCUUUUUUUCAUGCUAAGUUGCAUGAAGGUUUAUUUUCUGGUGGUCUUAAAAUUUGAUUUCUGCAGCAGUUUUUGUUUCCAUCUUGCUAGUGUCUGUUGAAGAGCUACCGCCAGCCUUUGUGAAUAAAGCAUCAAAAAACCAAUGAAGGCAGGCAUUUAUAAAAUACGUACUGGGUUCUUUUUAAAAUGCUUCUUCCUUGUUUUGUUCACUUACAGUUCUUACCACCUCCAGGUGAUCCAAAACCUACUUCCAAGUGAGACAUAAUAGCCUUUCCCAGUAAAGUGAUGCUGGGACACAUGUUUUAGAAAUACCAAUGUGUGUUGCCAGGUGUGGUGCUGCAGGUCUGAUACCUGCUACCUUGCCUUCUGCAGUCCUCCUGGUUUGGGGAGAAGUGGUCAAAGAUGGAGCGAAGUCAGAGAGUGAGCUAUUCCCCUCCCUAGCCACCUUCAGAAGAUUGUUCCAGGUAAGGCUGGCUUUGUGUGGGCCUCCAGGGAAAGUCUGUGGUUGGGCUGAGAUGUGAGAGAAGAGGAGAGGAUUUUCCAGCCUGGUGAGGGUUGUCCAUAUGCUUAGUGACAUCUGAUCCACUUUGGGCAUUCAUUGGGAAUUAACUUUUGUGUUUCAAAGUUCUUUGUCUAUGUUAAUGUGUGUUCCUCCAGGGCAAGAGUGGUUUAGGUGUGCUCUCCUGGGGUGCCACUGAGGGCCCUCAUAAGCUAUUACAGCUAUUACUUUAUGCAUCUACCAGGGAAAAUCGCAAUCUCAGGAACUGCACUCUGAGUUCUGGCUUUAAUGAUUAAGUUGGUGGUUUUUUAAUUACUAGUGAAAGCUUCCUGCACAGCAUGCAUGCCGUGACAAAAAAACCCAACUGUUUAUAAAAUACACGCUGGGCUGUUAAGAUACUCAAACCAGCUUAGGGUGUCUGGGAAGCUGAUGCUGAAAUGGGAUGUUGAGAACUCCUUGAGGCUGUAGCACAUGUCUUGGAACACACUUGCUUGUCCUUAAAAUCCAAAAGUGAAGCGAAAUAAAUGUGGCUUCAGA
Molecule: long non-coding RNA, 3599 nt
Organism: Chroicocephalus ridibundus (black-headed gull)
Lineage: Eukaryota; Metazoa; Chordata; Aves; Charadriiformes; Laridae
Exons: 2
Source: RefSeq, a predicted model, not a curated record